GCCUGUUGCUGCUGCUGGUCUGUUCCAUGAUUGGCUGGAUCGCCGCCUGGCUGGCUACGGUGCAACAUUUACGUCAC
RNAcentral lists this transfer RNA (77 nucleotides) under Salmonella sp. FORC89. RNAcentral's name for it is "tRNA-Pro". The record is from RNAcentral. Lineage: Bacteria; Pseudomonadati; Pseudomonadota; Gammaproteobacteria; Enterobacterales; Enterobacteriaceae.